This 427-nucleotide ribosomal RNA is filed under the name uncultured bacterium. RNAcentral describes it as "partial 16S ribosomal RNA". It matches the Rfam family "Bacterial small subunit ribosomal RNA", at positions 355 to 774 of the family's 1533-position model. The record is from RNAcentral.
UGGGGAAUAUUGCACAAUGGGCGCACGCCUGAUGCAGCCAUGCCGCGUGUAUGACGAAGGCCUUCGGGUUGUAAAGUACUUUCAGCGGGGAGGAAGGUGUUGAGGUUAAUAACCUCAGCAAUUGACGUUACCCGCAGAAGAAGCACCGGCUAACUCCGUGCCAGCAGCCGCGGUAAUACGGAGGGUGCAAGCGUUAAUCGGAAUUACUGGGCGUAAAGCGCACGCAGGCGGUCUGUCAAGUCGGAUGUGAAAUCCCCGGGCUCAACCUGGGAACUGCAUUCGAAACUGGCAGGCUAGAGUCUUGUAGAGGGGGGUAGAAUUCCAGGUGUAGCGGUGAAAUGCGUAGAGAUCUGGAGGAAUACCGGUGGCGAAGGCGGCCCCCUGGACAAAGACUGACGCUCAGGUGCGAAAGCGUGGGGAGCAAACA